RNAcentral lists this ribosomal RNA (275 nucleotides) under uncultured soil bacterium. Its description in RNAcentral is "partial 16S ribosomal RNA". It matches the Rfam family "Bacterial small subunit ribosomal RNA", at positions 26 to 329 of the family's 1533-position model. The record is from RNAcentral.
AGAACGAACGCUGGCGGCAUGCCUAACACAUGCAAGUCGAACGAGACCUUCGGGUCUAGUGGCGCACGGGUGCGUAACGCGUGGGAAUCUGCCCUUGGGUUCGGGAUAACAGUUGGAAACGACUGCUAAUACCGGAUGAUGACUUCGGUCCAAAGAUUUAUCGCCCAGGGAUGAGCCCGCGUAGGAUUAGCUUGUUGGUGAGGUAAAGGCUCACCAAGGCGACGAUCCUUAGCUGGUCUGAGAGGAUGAUCAGCCACACUGGGACUGAGACACGG